Molecule: ribosomal RNA, 115 nt
Filed under: Jaculus jaculus (lesser Egyptian jerboa)
Lineage: Eukaryota; Metazoa; Chordata; Mammalia; Rodentia; Dipodidae
Source: RNAcentral
GUCUAAGGCCAUACCACCCAGAAUGCGCCCAAUCUCAUCUGAUCUUGGAAGCUAAGCAGGGUGGGGGCUGGUUAGUACUUGGAUGGGAGAGAGGGUGUGCCAGGGACUCUAGCCA